Molecule: ribosomal RNA, 1816 nt
Filed under: human gut metagenome
Description: bacterial LSU rRNA
Rfam family: Bacterial large subunit ribosomal RNA
Source: RNAcentral
GAAAGCGUAAUAGCUCACUGGUCGAGUCGGCCUGCGCGGAAGAUGUAACGGGGCUAAACCAUGCACCGAAGCUGCGGCAGCGACGCUUAUGCGUUGUUGGGUAGGGGAGCGUUCUGUAAGCCUGUGAAGGUGUGCUGUGAGGCAUGCUGGAGGUAUCAGAAGUGCGAAUGCUGACAUAAGUAACGAUAAAGCGGGUGAAAAGCCCGCUCGCCGGAAGACCAAGGGUUCCUGUCCAACGUUAAUCGGGGCAGGGUGAGUCGACCCCUAAGGCGAGGCCGAAAGGCGUAGUCGAUGGGAAACAGGUUAAUAUUCCUGUACUUGGUGUUACUGCGAAGGGGGGACGGAGAAGGCUAUGUUGGCCGGGCGACGGUUGUCCCGGUUUAAGCGUGUAGGCUGGUUUUCCAGGCAAAUCCGGAAAAUCAAGGCUGAGGCGUGAUGACGAGGCACUACGGUGCUGAAGCAACAAAUGCCCUGCUUCCAGGAAAAGCCUCUAAGCAUCAGGUAACAUCAAAUCGUACCCCAAACCGACACAGGUGGUCAGGUAGAGAAUACCAAGGCGCUUGAGAGAACUCGGGUGAAGGAACUAGGCAAAAUGGUGCCGUAACUUCGGGAGAAGGCACGCUGAUAUGUAGGUGAAGUCCCUCGCGGAUGGAGCUGAAAUCAGUCGAAGAUACCAGCUGGCUGCAACUGUUUAUUAAAAACACAGCACUGUGCAAACACGAAAGUGGACGUAUACGGUGUGACGCCUGCCCGGUGCCGGAAGGUUAAUUGAUGGGGUUAGCGCAAGCGAAGCUCUUGAUCGAAGCCCCGGUAAACGGCGGCCGUAACUAUAACGGUCCUAAGGUAGCGAAAUUCCUUGUCGGGUAAGUUCCGACCUGCACGAAUGGCGUAAUGAUGGCCAGGCUGUCUCCACCCGAGACUCAGUGAAAUUGAACUCGCUGUGAAGAUGCAGUGUACCCGCGGCAAGACGGAAAGACCCCGUGAACCUUUACUAUAGCUUGACACUGAACAUUGAGCCUUGAUGUGUAGGAUAGGUGGGAGGCUUAGAAGUGUGGACGCCAGUCUGCAUGGAGCCGACCUUGAAAUACCACCCUUUAAUGUUUGAUGUUCUAACGUUGACCCGUAAUCCGGGUUGCGGACAGUGUCUGGUGGGUAGUUUGACUGGGGCGGUCUCCUCCUAAAGAGUAACGGAGGAGCACGAAGGUUGGCUAAUCCUGGUCGGACAUCAGGAGGUUAGUGCAAUGGCAUAAGCCAGCUUGACUGCGAGCGUGACGGCGCGAGCAGGUGCGAAAGCAGGUCAUAGUGAUCCGGUGGUUCUGAAUGGAAGGGCCAUCGCUCAACGGAUAAAAGGUACUCUGGGGAUAACAGGCUGAUACCGCCCAAGAGUUCAUAUCGACGGCGGUGUUUGGCACCUCGAUGUCGGCUCAUCACAUCCUGGGGCUGAAGUAGGUCCCAAGGGUAUGGCUGUUCGCCAUUUAAAGUGGUACGCGAGCUGGGUUUAGAACGUCGUGAGACAGUUCGGUCCCUAUCUGCCGUGGGCGCUGGAGAACUGAGGGGGGCUGCUCCUAGUACGAGAGGACCGGAGUGGACGCAUCACUGGUGUUCGGGUUGUCAUGCCAAUGGCACUGCCCGGUAGCUAAAUGCGGAAGAGAUAAGUGCUGAAAGCAUCUAAGCACGAAACUUGCCCCGAGAUGAGUUCUCCCUGACUCCUUGAGAGUCCUGAAGGAACGUUGAAGACGACGACGUUGAUAGGCCGGGUGUGUAAGCGCAGCGAUGCGUUGAGCUAACCGGUACUAAUGAACCGUGAGGCUUAACC